This 118-nucleotide ribosomal RNA is filed under the name Peromyscus maniculatus bairdii (prairie deer mouse). The record is from RNAcentral. Lineage: Eukaryota; Metazoa; Chordata; Mammalia; Rodentia; Cricetidae.
UCUUCAGCCAUGCCACCCUGACUGCACCCCACCUCAUCUAAUCUCAGAGGCUAAGCAGGGGUAGGCCUGGCUAGGACUUGGAUGGAAAGAAACAUAGGACUUUGGGACCCUGCAAGAG